This 68-nucleotide transfer RNA is filed under the name Haliea sp. RNAcentral describes it as "tRNA-Met". Lineage: Bacteria; Pseudomonadati; Pseudomonadota; Gammaproteobacteria; Cellvibrionales; Halieaceae. The record is from RNAcentral.
GGGCUUGCAGCGUUGCGUGCAAACUCAUAAUCGAUUGGUCGUAGGUUCAAGUCCUACUGGGCCCACCA